This is a small nucleolar RNA of Microplitis demolitor, 70 nucleotides long. RefSeq annotates it as small nucleolar RNA U18. The record is from RefSeq and is a predicted model, not a curated record. The transcript has a single exon. NCBI's taxonomy places the organism in Eukaryota, Metazoa, Arthropoda, Insecta, Hymenoptera, Braconidae.
UUCAUGAUGAUUUUAUUGGUCCGUGUUGCUGAAUUACAGUGAUUAUUAAUUUUAACCAUUUCUGACUUAU